UACAGAGGGUGCGAGCGUUAAUCGGAAUGACUGGGCGUAAAGGGCGCGUAGGUGGAUGUGUGUGUUGGAUGUGAAAGCCCCGGGCUCAACCUGGGAAUUGCAUACAAAACUGCACAUCUAGAGUAGAGCAGAGGUAAGUGGAAUUUCCGGAGUAGCGGUGAAAUGCGUAGAUACCGGAAGGAACACCAGUGGCGAAGGCGACUUACUGGGCUCAAACUGACACUGAGGCGCGAAAGCGUGGGGAGCAAACAGG
Molecule: ribosomal RNA, 253 nt
Filed under: uncultured bacterium
Lineage: Bacteria
Description: partial 16S ribosomal RNA
Rfam family: Bacterial small subunit ribosomal RNA
Source: RNAcentral